This 497-nucleotide ribosomal RNA is filed under the name uncultured bacterium. RNAcentral describes it as "partial 16S ribosomal RNA". It matches the Rfam family "Bacterial small subunit ribosomal RNA", at positions 28 to 507 of the family's 1533-position model. The record is from RNAcentral.
GAUGAACGCUGGCGGCGUGCCUAACACAUGCAAGUCGAACGAACAGACGAGGAUCUUGCGCUUCUCACGUUAGCGGCGGACGGGUGAGUAACACGUGGAUAACCUACCUAUAUGACUUGGAUAACUUCGGGAAACCGGAGCUAAUACUGGAUAAUAUAUCGAACUGCAGGGUGCAAGAGAGAUAGAGGGGUUUGGUGUCACUUAUAGAUGUAUCCGCGCGGCAUUAGCUAGUUGGUGGCGUAACGGCUUACCAGGGCGGCGGUGGGUAGCCGACGUGAGAGGGUGUAGCCGCACAGUGGGACUGAGACGCCGCACUGGCACCGACGGGAGGCACAAGUUGGGAAUCUUGGGAGAAGGGCGGAAUCCUGACGGAGCGAUGGCGCGUGGGUGAUGAAGGGCUGCGGACCGUAAGACUCUGUUCUUGGGGAAGACCGAAUGUGUAAGUGACUAAGCACGUCGUGACGGUACCUGAUCAAGAAGCACCGGCUAACUACGUG